GCCUUCUUAGUUCAGUGGUUUAGAAUUUGUCACUAGUAGUUUCUUUUAGGAUUGCCAUGACAGGGUCACUCGUUCGAUUCGGGUAGAAGGCA
This is a non-coding RNA of Kwoniella mangroviensis CBS 8507, 92 nucleotides long. Lineage: Eukaryota; Fungi; Basidiomycota; Tremellomycetes; Tremellales; Cryptococcaceae. The record is from the annotation of a RefSeq genome assembly.